Molecule: ribosomal RNA, 253 nt
Filed under: uncultured bacterium
Lineage: Bacteria
Description: partial 16S ribosomal RNA
Rfam family: Bacterial small subunit ribosomal RNA
Source: RNAcentral
UACGAAGGGGGCGAGCGUUGUUCGGAUUUACUGGGCGUAAAGGGUUUGUAGGUGGCUUGCUAAGUCAGACGUGAAAUCCCUCAGCUUAACUGGGGAACUGCGUCUGAGACUGGUGAGCUUGAGUGCAGGAGAGGAACGCGGAAUUCCUGGUGUAGCGGUGAAAUGCGCAGAUAUCAGGAGGAACACCAAUGGCGAAGGCAGCUCGCUGGGACGGUACUGACGCUGAGACGCGAAAGCGUGGGGAGCAAACAGG